RNAcentral lists this ribosomal RNA (440 nucleotides) under Porpax risi. Its description in RNAcentral is "partial 12S ribosomal RNA". Lineage: Eukaryota; Metazoa; Arthropoda; Insecta; Odonata; Libellulidae. The record is from RNAcentral.
AAAAACCCUUUUUUUUUAAAUGUAAAUAUUACCCAGGGUAGUAAAAGUAAGUUCUUGAAACCCAAAGAAUUUGGCGGUACUUUAUUCCUUUCAGAGGAACCUGUCCUGUAUUGAUAUUCCCACGAGGAUAAAUUACUUACUUUUGUAUACAUUUUGUAUACCUCCGUCAUAAGAGUAUCUUUUUAGAGUUAAUAUUCUAUUAAUACGAAAUAUAAUAUGUCAGGUCAAGGUGCAAUUUAUGGGUAAGUAGAGAUGGGUUACAAUAAAAAUAUUUAUACGGAUAAAUGAUGUUAAUUUCAUUUUGAAGGAGGAUUUGAAAGUAAAAUUAUUUUCUUGAUAUUUUGAUUUUGGCUCUAAAGUAUGCACACAUCGCCCGUCGCUCUUAUUUUAAAAUAAGAUAAGUCGUAACAUAGUAGGAGUACCGGAAGGUGUUCCUAGUA